Molecule: long non-coding RNA, 871 nt
Organism: Aethalodelphis obliquidens (Pacific white-sided dolphin)
Lineage: Eukaryota; Metazoa; Chordata; Mammalia; Artiodactyla; Delphinidae
Exons: 2
Source: RefSeq, a predicted model, not a curated record
AGAUGAGCCCGUCGCCCUGGCAACGGCUGGAGAGGCGGGGUCACGCAUGCGCAGAGCUGGGGGCUCGCGUCACUACGGAGCGCCGGGAAGUGGACUCACCGCUCGUGUGAAGGGGGCGCUGCGGUAGGUGGUCGCCGCCCUGGAGCGCUUUGGCCGCGUUCUUCGCCAAGAACUCUCGUUCCUUGCGGGACUGGGCGAGGGCCGAAUUCCAGACCCCACCCCAGCGGCGACCUGGUGGGAUGAGGGCCCAAGAGACUCUAUUGUUGCGCGGGCCAGGACAGGAGAAGAAACGUCCAAGAUCGAAGAGGCCCUACAGAGACGUGUUAAACCUCUGAAAACUUGAAAGAUUUUGGUGUAUCAGUGGAAACAAGUAUAAAACCAGGUGAGGAUGCAGCCCACAGCCUCUUAGGUCAGCACCUGAACCCACCUUAGGGAGUCAAUGUUACUCCACUCAACAUACAGCAGUGGGCACCCUGGGAUUUCUUUGGCGGAGGUGGCCCCAGGCUAGGAAGACCAGACAAUAGAAUGGCCCCUGCACUCAGGCUGUGAGAUGGGGUGAGCCACAGGUCGUGCCCCACCAGCUGAACACUGUGUAAGACCCUUAGGCCUUGGCCGAACUCUGAGGGCAGGGUAGGGGAGUUCUCGUGGAAUGACGGAAUUUCCCACCAGGGAUCUUGAAAAGCACUUCUUUGGACUUGCCCUGUCUUGCUUCUCUUGAGAAUCCUGCAGCCAUCACCUUAUGAAUGAGCCAGGGCUGGCCUGAUGGAGGAUGGACAACACAUGCCUAGUUAAUACCACUGACCCUCUUGACAGCCAGCCGUCUGCCAAACAAUGAGGCCAGUGGUUGCCAGCUAGCCACAAAAUCGAUGAA